UACAAGUUCCUAGUGGUCUCAAACAAUCAUAUACCCCAACUACAACACUUCAAACACACACAAUCAACACACAUUGCUCAAAACAUCAAUAUUAACCCAUAACUCAACAUAUAUCCUAACAUGCAUUUCUACCCAAAGAACUCAUAAAAUCUUACUUAAAACACAUAAGGAGCUUAAGAUCGGCUCUUACCUCUUGAAGAUCGAGAGGGAGACGACCUAAACUUGGAGAUCUACGAAAAUGAGCUCCUGAGUUCCCAAAGCUCCAAAACUUGUUUCAAAAGUUCAAAACCUUCAAUGCAAGCUUAAAACUCAAGAAAAAUGGUGAGGAUUUGAAGGAAGAACACUAGAUUUGGAAGAGGGAGGUCGGAAGCUAGCUGUGGCUGAAAAUGGGAGAAAGCUC
This 400-nucleotide long non-coding RNA is filed under the name Manihot esculenta (cassava). RNAcentral describes it as "long non-coding RNA (MESC_LNC005660)". The record is from RNAcentral. Lineage: Eukaryota; Viridiplantae; Streptophyta; Magnoliopsida; Malpighiales; Euphorbiaceae.